CCCAUGUGAGUCAUAUUUCAAAAGCUACCUAUGGAUACAGGCUAGAAGGGGGUCAAGUAGAGGAUGGAGAGAAGGGGUCUUAUUCUUAGGUUCCCCACUAUCUCAGGACCUUCUCACUUACUGGGGAAUCCCUGGAUUUGAGUGGAUUCAGUCCAACAACCUGCGUGGGUGUGUUCUUAGGAACUGAUAGAACAAAUGGCCAGAAAAAUCAGGAAGUCAGUAAGAAUAUUGAAGACUUGAAUAACACUAACUGUCAACUUGAUUUAACUGGUCCAUUCAUUCUUCCAAAGAGAAUCAUUUACCGGCUAUUGUCUGUGCUCUUGGCCCAUUCAAUCCCCCAACAAUCAUUUACUACCCUUCAAAAAGAAUUGCCUACACUCCCCCUCUUCCCUCUGCCCUACGAGGAAGAAACGAACAUGGGAAGAAACAACAAACCUCACUGGGUUGGUGGAUAAUCAUACUCCUGGAAUUUUCCCUCCUACAACUUAAAUAAAUUUAUAUGCCUCU
Molecule: long non-coding RNA, 507 nt
Organism: Marmota monax (woodchuck)
Lineage: Eukaryota; Metazoa; Chordata; Mammalia; Rodentia; Sciuridae
Exons: 3
Source: RefSeq, a predicted model, not a curated record